UGGCGGACGGGUGAGUAACGCGUGGGUAACCUGCCCUGUACAGGGGGAUAACAGCUGGAAACGGCUGCUAAUACCGCAUAAGCGCACGAGGAGACAUCUCCUUGUGUGAAAAACUCCGGUGGUACAGGAUGGGCCCGCGUCUGAUUAGCUGGUUGGCAGGGUAACGGCCUACCAAGGCAACGAUCAGUAGCCGGUUUGAGAGGAUGAACGGCCACAUUGGAACUGAGACACGGUCCAA
This 238-nucleotide ribosomal RNA is filed under the name uncultured bacterium. RNAcentral describes it as "partial 16S ribosomal RNA". It matches the Rfam family "Bacterial small subunit ribosomal RNA", at positions 96 to 334 of the family's 1533-position model. The record is from RNAcentral.